UACGUAGGGUGCAAGCGUUAAUCGGAAUUACUGGGCGUAAAGCGUGCGCAGGCGGCUUUGCAAGACAGAUGUGAAAUCCCCGGGCUUAACCUGGGAACUGCAUUUGUGACUGCAAGGCUUGAGUGCGGCAGAGGAGACUGGAAUUCCUGGUGUAGCAGUGAAAUGCGUAGAUAUCAGGAGGAAUACCGAUGGCGAAGGCGGCUCUCUGGGACGGUACUGACGCUGAGACGCGAAAGCGUGGGGAGCGAACAGG
This 253-nucleotide ribosomal RNA is filed under the name uncultured bacterium. RNAcentral describes it as "partial 16S ribosomal RNA". It matches the Rfam family "Bacterial small subunit ribosomal RNA", at positions 524 to 776 of the family's 1533-position model. The record is from RNAcentral.